Molecule: unclassified non-coding RNA, 577 nt
Filed under: Megacollybia platyphylla
Lineage: Eukaryota; Fungi; Basidiomycota; Agaricomycetes; Agaricales; Porotheleaceae
Description: sequence contains 28S rRNA gene
Rfam family: Eukaryotic large subunit ribosomal RNA
Source: RNAcentral
GGGAAGAGCUCAAAUUUAAAAUCUGGCAGUCUCUGGCUGUCCGAGUUGUAAUUUAGAGAAGUGUUGCCCGCGCUGGACCCGUAUACAAGUCCUCUGGAAUGGGGUGUCAUAGAGGGUGAGAAUCCCGUCUUUGAUACGGACUACCAGUGCUUUGUGGUGCGCUCUCGAAGAGUCGAGUUGUUUGGGAAUGCAGCUCAAAAUGGGUGGUAAAUUCCAUCUAAAGCUAAAUACAGGCGAGAGACCGAUAGCGAACAAGUACCGUGAGGGAAAGAUGAAAAGAACUUUGGAAAGAGAGUUAAACAGUACGUGAAAUUGCUGAAAGGGAAACGCUUGAAGUCAGUCGCGUUGUUCAAGAAUCAGCCUUGCUUUCUUGCUUGGUGUACUUUUUGUUCAAUGGGUCAACAUCAGUUUUGACCACUGGAUAAGGGCCAGGGAAAUGUGGCAUCUUUAGAUGUGUUAUAGUCUCUGGUCAUAUACAGUGGUUGGGACUGAGGAACUCAGCAUGCCAAAAGGACGGGUCUUUAAGACUACGUUACAUGCUUAGGAUGUUGGCAUAAUGGCUUUAAUCGACCCGUCU